CGCGGCCCGGCUCAUCCCCCCCGAGCCGGACCGUCGACGGCCCCCGCUCCCCCCCAGCGGGGGCCGUCUCCA
Molecule: non-coding RNA, 72 nt
Filed under: unclassified sequences
Description: 6C.2008-01-16 RNA
Rfam family: 6C RNA
Source: RNAcentral